GAUCAGCAUCAGACUGGACAGUUUCCUUUUGGUUCCCUUGAUGCAAAAUGUGCCUGUUGAGAAGGCAUCUGUUUAAGGGAUUACAGAGUGCAAAUGGUGAUGUGCAGAGACCUCUAGAGACCACAGCGCCUUACUGCACUUAAUCACAUGCAGAUAGGGCUCCGUGCCGAAGUCAUGACGUCAUCGGGAACGGUGAAACUGGCCAGAAAAUGAACAAGGUAACUAGCUAUAGCUUGAGAGGCCGGACUCGCAAAUGUCGCAUGGUUUGGGCUUUUCCCGCCCCCCUACCUCCACUUCUAAAUGAGUUAAUUAAGCUUGGCAGAAUCUGGAAGAAUCUCACUCCACAUUCACAUUUAUAUCAUAAUAAGGCAUCAGGGAAAAAUUUUAGAGGAUGCAAAAAUCAAGUAUUCAUGGACAGUCAUUCUGGUUAAGUUUCAAAGGAGUAGGACUUGCAUUGCUCUUCAGGUGUUGAUAGAUUUCUAACAAUCUUGAGAAAAGGAACCUGAACUUCAAAAAUGAUCUUAAAAACUAAACUUAAUAUGCUGCCAAGCUGAUGGAGAAGUCAGAAAUUGUAAUAGCAAGUAUGUUCAAUUUGGGUAUAAAGAUUUAAGUAAAAAUCCAGGAAUAGAGUUUAGAGGACAAGAUGAACCAACGAUUCAACAAGUAUUUAUUAAGCAUUCACUAUCUGUCAAACAUUCUUCAAAGCUUCGGAGAUCCAAAGAAAAGCAAAAUCAUUUCUGCCUACCCUCACCCUCCCAUCCACCCAAAAUUCACCAGGGAUCUUGCUUUCCUUCUCUAAUUACAUAGAAAAUUUGCUUAAAUAUGUAUGUAGUGUGUUCCUCCACAUUAUCUGAAGGCUGUGAAAAAUGUUUAUUUUUGCCUUUGUAUCUGCAGCAUCUAAUGCAGUACAAAGCAUAUGGCAGACAUUUAAAUAAUGAUUGUUGAAUUUAUUUCAAUAAAUACAUCUUACAGAGUUGUCUUAAGUAUAGA
This 990-nucleotide long non-coding RNA is filed under the name Monodelphis domestica (gray short-tailed opossum). RNAcentral's name for it is "lncRNA (ENSMODG00000030382.2)". Lineage: Eukaryota; Metazoa; Chordata; Mammalia; Didelphimorphia; Didelphidae. The record is from RNAcentral.